ACAUGGUUGAGGAAGGUGUCCAGUGAUCCACAUGGUUGAGGAAGGUGUCUAGUGAUCCACAUGGUUGAGGAAGGUGUCCAGUGAUCCACAUGGUUGAGGAAGGUGUCUAGUGAUCCACAUGGUUUACCUUGAGGAAGGUGUCCAGUGAUCCACAUGGUUGAGGAAGGUGUCUAGUGAUCCACAUGGUUGAGGAAGGUGUCCAGUGAUCCACAUGGUUGAGGAAGGUGUCUAGUGAUCCACAUGGUUUACCUUGAGGAAGGUGUCUAGUGAUCCACAUGGUUUACCUUGAGGAAGGUGUCUAGUGAUCCACAUGGUUUACCUUGAGGAAGGUGUCUAGUGAUCCACAUGGUUUACCUUGAGGAAGGUGUCUAGUGAUCCACAUGGUUUACCUUGAUGAAGGUGUCUAGUGAUCCACAUGGUUUACCUUGA
This is a non-coding RNA of Oncorhynchus mykiss (rainbow trout), 429 nucleotides long. Lineage: Eukaryota; Metazoa; Chordata; Actinopteri; Salmoniformes; Salmonidae. The record is from RefSeq and is a predicted model, not a curated record.